This 490-nucleotide ribosomal RNA is filed under the name uncultured bacterium. Its description in RNAcentral is "partial 16S ribosomal RNA". It matches the Rfam family "Bacterial small subunit ribosomal RNA", at positions 30 to 507 of the family's 1533-position model. The record is from RNAcentral.
AUUGAACGCUGGCGGCAGGCCUAACACAUGCAAGUCGAACGGUAACAGGAAGCAGCUUGCUGCUUCGCUGACGAGUGGCGGACGGGUGAGUAAUGUCUGGGAAGCUGCCUGAUGGAGGGGGAUAACUACUGGAAACGGUAGCUAAUACCGCAUAAUGUCGCAAGACCAAAGAGGGGGACCUUCGGGCCUCUUGCCAUCGGAUGUGCCCAGAUGGGAUUAGCUUGUUGGUGGGGUAACGGCUCACCAAGGCGACGAUCCCUAGCUGGUCUGAGAGGAUGACCAGCCACACUGGGACUGAGACACGGUCCAGACUCCUACGGGAGGCAGCAGUGGGGAAUAUUGCACAAUGGGCGCAAGCCUGAUGCAGCCAUGCCGCGUGUAUGAAGAAGGCCCUCGGGUUGUAAAGUACUUUCAGCGGGGAGGAAGGGAGUAAAGUUAAUACCUUUGCUCAUUGACGUUACCCGCAGAAGAAGCACCGGCUAACUCCGUG